This 148-nucleotide non-coding RNA is filed under the name Homo sapiens (human). The record is from Rfam by way of RNAcentral. Lineage: Eukaryota; Metazoa; Chordata; Mammalia; Primates; Hominidae.
GCUGGGCGUGGUGGCGCACACCUGUAGUCCCAGCUACUUGGGAGGCUGAGGCAGGAGAAUCACUUGAACCUGGGAGGCGGAGGUUGCAGUGAGCCGAGAUUGAGCCACUGCACUCCAGCCUGGGUGACAGAGCGAGACUCUGUCUCAA